CUUGAACGCUACAUGGAAGAAACUCCGGUGUGCUCGAACCUAUAUCAACACCCCACUGAUUGUUGUCGUCUUCGCUGCUGUACAGUGAGUGUGGAAUUGGCGCUGCUCCGAUGAUCGCAGACCCUGUCAUCACCCAUAGUCGAUGUCAGCCACCGUCAACUUCGUCUCCUGCUACAACUAACCCUGAUCAAUGCUGCUGCCGGUUACCGUUCACAUUCCCAGUGAUCCAGGCCUCCAGUCAUCAAACCCUUUGAUCAUGAUAUAGCCCUUGAUGUUGUACACACCUCUGUAAAUCAGUUUGGUCAUAGGACCAGCGAUACCGGAGUUAUUGAUAUCAUCAUGCUUGCUGCUCCUGCAUCCUUGCAGCAGCAUUGUUUCCGAUUGGCAUGCAUGUUCCAUAAGAUCCUUUCCUCCAAUCAUCAAAUCCUUUGAAAAUGAUAUUCGUCAUGAAGUUGAACAUGUCCUUGCCAAAUUUCAUCACCAUAGAGCCUAACACAAAAGAGUUAUAAAUGUUCUUGUGCAUGAUGUCCCUGCUGCCCCGCAUUAGCAUUCCUGUUGGUUGGCACUAUCGCUCCAGUGACCGUGUCCUUCAACCAUAGUGUGUUUUGUACCUUUGCACACACCCCUGAGAAAUUCCAUGGUAAUAGAAUUCAAGAUGAAAGAGAUAUCAUUGUCUUUU
This is a long non-coding RNA of Sorghum bicolor (sorghum), 679 nucleotides long. RefSeq lists it as uncharacterized. The transcript has 3 exons. Lineage: Eukaryota; Viridiplantae; Streptophyta; Magnoliopsida; Poales; Poaceae. The record is from RefSeq and is a predicted model, not a curated record.